UGCGGUGUGGUGUAGUGGUUAGCGCUAUUGUUUUUGAAAAAAUGGUUAGGGGUUCGAUUCCAGUAGGGGUAU
Non-coding RNA from Caenorhabditis brenneri, 72 nucleotides. The record is from the annotation of a GenBank genome assembly. NCBI's taxonomy places the organism in Eukaryota, Metazoa, Nematoda, Chromadorea, Rhabditida, Rhabditidae.